GGGCGGUUAGCUCAGUGGGAGAGCGCUUCCUUGACACGGAAGAGGUCAGUGGUUCAAUCCCACUACCGCCC
This 71-nucleotide transfer RNA is filed under the name Acidobacteriaceae bacterium. Its description in RNAcentral is "tRNA-Val". It matches the Rfam family "tRNA". Rfam says of the family: Transfer RNA (tRNA) molecules are approximately 80 nucleotides in length. Their secondary structure includes four short double-helical elements and three loops (D, anti-codon, and T loops). Lineage: Bacteria; Pseudomonadati; Acidobacteriota; Terriglobia; Terriglobales; Acidobacteriaceae. The record is from RNAcentral.